RNAcentral lists this long non-coding RNA (221 nucleotides) under Mustela putorius furo (domestic ferret). RNAcentral's name for it is "lncRNA (ENSMPUG00000025513.1)". The record is from RNAcentral. Lineage: Eukaryota; Metazoa; Chordata; Mammalia; Carnivora; Mustelidae.
GCCCAGAGUAUCUGUCAUUUUAUUCAGUGGAUACACAUUGUAAAGAUAAAUCUUACUAAUAAGGACAGAGGAGAAGGAAAUCUUAAAUUAUAGUGACUAUAAGGGCCAGGAAACACUGCAACAAUAACCAAGAACUUGCAGUCUUCCACAUUGUGAUAAAUAAGCCCUCCUCCCUGAACUUGCCAUUAUAUAUCUGCUGUUGGAGAACACACUCUUACUGA